This 1474-nucleotide ribosomal RNA is filed under the name uncultured Bordetella sp. Its description in RNAcentral is "partial 16S-23S ribosomal RNA intergenic spacer". It matches the Rfam family "Bacterial small subunit ribosomal RNA". The record is from RNAcentral. Lineage: Bacteria; Pseudomonadati; Pseudomonadota; Betaproteobacteria; Burkholderiales; Alcaligenaceae.
UAACAGAGGUUUGAUUCUGGCUCAGAUUGGACGCUGGUGGGAUGCUUUACACAUGCAAGUCGAACGGCAGCACGGACUUCGGUCUGGUGGCGAGUGGCGAGCAAUUGAGUAAUGUAUCGGAACGUGCCUAGUAGCGAGGGAUAACUACGCGAAAGCGUAGCUAAUACAUACGCCCUUCGGGGAAAGCGGGGGACCUUCGGGCCUCGCACUAUUAAACGGCCGAUAUCGGUUGGCUAGUUGGUGGGGUAACGGCUCGCAAGGCGACGAUCCGUAGCUGGUUUGAGAGGACGACCAGCCACACUGGGACUGGAGACACGGCCCAGACUCUGCAGGAGGCAGCAGUGGGGAAUUUUGGACAAUGGGGGAAGCCACAGUCAGCCAUCCCGCGUGCGAUGAAGGCCUUCGGGUUGUAAAGCACUUUUGGCAGGAAAGAAACGGCACGGGAUAAUACACCCCGUGCAACUGACGGUACCUGCAGAAUAAGCGCCGGCCUUCGCGUGUAAUACUGAUAAUACGUAAGUGCUGUGAUUAAUCGAAUUACUGGGCGCGUAAAGCGUGCGCAGGCGGUUCGGAAAGAAGAUGUGAAAUCCCAGAGCUUAACUUUGGGAACUGCAUUUUAACUACCGAAACUGGGUGUAACCAAGAGGGAGGUGGAAUUCCGCGUGUAGCAGUGAAAUGUCGUAGAUAUGCCGAACACCGUGGCGAAGGCAGCCUCCUGGGAUAACACUGACGCUCAUGCACGAAAGCGUGGGGAGCAAACAGGAUUAGAUACCCUGGUAGUCCACGCCCUAAACGAUGUCAACUAGCUGUUGGGGCCUUUAGGAGCGCUUGGUAGCGCAAUAACGCGUGAGGUUGACCGCCUGGGAAGUACGGUCGCAAGAUUAAACUCAAAGGAGGAAUUGACGGGGACCCGCACAAGCAGUGGAUGAUGUGGAUUAAUUCGAUGCAACGCGAAAAACCUUACCUACCCUUGACAUGUCUAGGUCGAAGAUUUGGGAGUGCUCGCAAGAGAACCGGGCCCACAGGUGCUGCAUGGCUGUCGUCAGCUCGUGUCGUGAGAUGUUGGGUUAAGUCCCGCAACGAGCACAACCUUGUCAUUAGUUGCUACGAGGCACUCUAAUGAGACUGCCGGUGACAAACCGGAGGAAGGUGGGGAUGACGUCAGGGUCCUCGCGGCCCUUAUGGGUAGGGCUUCACACGUCAUACAAUGGUCGGGACAGAGGUCGCCAACCCGCGAGGGAGCCAAUCCCAGAAACCCGAUCGUAGUCCGGAUCGCAGUCUGCAACUCGACUGCGUGAAGUCGAGAAUCGCUAGUAAUCGCGGAUCAGCAUGUCGCGGUGAAUACGUUCCCGGGUCUUGUACACACCGCCCGUCACACCAUGGGAGUGGGUUUUGCAGAAGUAGUUAGCCUAACCGUAAGGAGGGCGAUUACCACGGUAAGUUCAUGAGCUGGGGUGAAGUCGUAACAAGGUAA